Molecule: long non-coding RNA, 371 nt
Filed under: Nicotiana tabacum (common tobacco)
Lineage: Eukaryota; Viridiplantae; Streptophyta; Magnoliopsida; Solanales; Solanaceae
Description: long non-coding RNA (NTAB_LNC012334)
Source: RNAcentral
CAUUUGCAGAAUAUAACACUUUCAAGUUCCCCGGCCCCACUUCUACAGCAUCACUUUGACUUCCAUCAGUUUUGUAGAACGUCUGCGGUAUUGAAGCAGCAACUGCAUGUGUAAUGUAUACAAGAAGAGAUUUAAUUUGUCAAGCCUCUGAACAAUGGGAGACAAUUACAAUCAUCUAUUGCAUGUAAAUUUUGUGAUAUGCCAAUCAGAUGCUGAAGAAUUGGAAGCUAUUAAGACACCAGCUUGCAUUUUAACUUUCAUGAUACACCAAUCAGAUGUCUAACCUGCUCGUUUACCACUUGUUACAACAUAGGAGUUAAAGCCCAAAGGUGGAACAGUAGCAGUAAACGCAAGCCAAUAUUUGGGGCUUG